RNAcentral lists this ribosomal RNA (429 nucleotides) under Actinomycetes bacterium. RNAcentral describes it as "Actinobacteria bacterium partial 16S ribosomal RNA". It matches the Rfam family "Bacterial small subunit ribosomal RNA", at positions 355 to 776 of the family's 1533-position model. The record is from RNAcentral. Lineage: Bacteria; Bacillati; Actinomycetota; Actinomycetes.
UAGGGAAUCUUCCGCAAUGGGCGAAAGCCUGACGGAGCAACGCCGCGUGAGUGAUGAAGGUCUUCGGAUCGUAAAACUCUGUUAUUAGGGAAGAACAAAUGUGUAAGUAACUAUGCACGUCUUGACGGUACCUAAUCAGAAAGCCACGGCUAACUACGUGCCAGCAGCCGCGGUAAUACGUAGGUGGCAAGCGUUAUCCGGAAUUAUUGGGCGUAAAGCGCGCGUAGGCGGUUUUUUAAGUCUGAUGUGAAAGCCCACGGCUCAACCGUGGAGGGGCAUUGGAAACUGGAAAACUUGAGUGCAGAAGAGGAAAGUGGAAUUCCAUGUGUAGCAGUGAAAUGCGCAGAGAUAUGGAGGAACACCAGUGGCGAAGGCGACUUUCUAGUCUGUAACUGACGCUGAUGUGCGAAAGCGUGGGGAUCAAACAGG